Molecule: long non-coding RNA, 6575 nt
Filed under: Zea mays
Lineage: Eukaryota; Viridiplantae; Streptophyta; Magnoliopsida; Poales; Poaceae
Description: long non-coding RNA (ZMAY_LNC000571)
Source: RNAcentral
AUAGAAGCGCCUGCAGGUCACUCCCAUUUGCCAGGCUGUUGAACUCCACUAAUUUUGAGGGCAGUGCAGGGUAACGCUGCUGGGAAAGCGUCAUCAGCCUCUUGAUUGACUGAAGGUACUUGCGAGUGGUCUCGUCAUUCAUGAUGUGGGCGACGUUGUUUGUGUGGAUCUUCUCUCGGGCAGAACGCUCGUGGAUGCCAACCAUAGUCACUCCAAUGGGCCAUGGUGCAUUCCCGAUUGCCAGCUUGAUGUAUUGGUCCAUUGCCGCUAGAUAAUCUCGCUUCAUGCAACACUCCACAAUAACAAGCAAUGCUCGACGGAUGUCAUCAGGAAGAACCUAAAAAUGGAUCCAGCCAUACAUGCAUUAGAAUCAGUGAAGCAUGCACCAAGAAACUUGUUGAAAAAAAUAGUUGUCAACGGUAUAAACAUAAUCAAUAUUCAGAUGAGCAUCAAUAUUAAUAGCACAAUUUAAGCAACCAACAGAUGGAAAUUGCAUAAGAAUCAAUACCUUCUUUCUGCAGAACUCAAACAACGGGCUGAGAUACCGUGCACACUGCUUGAAUGUUGCAACCAUGGACUUCCCCUUUGCUGUCCGCUUCUCUAGCUCAGUCAUCUCAUCCAAUUCCUGGUUCCACUCAUUAAGCAGCUUCUUAAAGAACACCAAGAUCUUGUCUUCAUUGCAAAGCUCCUCAAACUUGGUCCUCAUCCUCUUGGAGUCCUUGUCUGCGUCAACAUCAUCGCCGCUCCCCUUGGCAUCCCCAUCAUCUGCACUGCCUCCGGCAGCACCCCAGUCGCCGCCAUCAACACGCUUGCUCUUGCCCUUGGCGUAGGUGUCCCUCCCGGCCUUCUGCCGCUUGCGCAUCUCGAUCAUGUCGCGGAGGAAGUCGUUGGUCUGUCCCUCGGUCAUGUCGAUGUCGUCGAUGACGCCGGACUUGAGCACGAGCUUGAAGCGCGCGAGGCGGGCGUCGUCGUUCUCCCCGAACAGCGUGACGGGCUCGCGCAGCACGCGGAGGCGCCGCACCACCUCGUGCCGUGGGAGGUCGAGCUCGUCGAUGCGACGCUCCUCGGAACCGGUAGCAGCUGCGGCGGAAUUCGCGGAGGGCGCCGACGUGCCGGCCUUGGCGAGGAGCUGGCGGUGCUCGUCGAGCCGCUUCUGGAGCUGCUUCUGCUCCAGCUCCGACCGCCGCACGAAGCUCUUGCCCCCGAAGUCGGCCGUCGCCGCCUUCCGCUUCUUCUCCAGUUCCCGCUUCAGCAGAUCCAUUACGCCCGACGCCCAGUUCGGCUUCGAUUCUCCGAAUUACGGUAUUUGACCGUUCCCGCAAAUAGAAGAGAACUCGACUCGACUUUGAUCGUGCUGUGGCCGUGUGGGCAGACUUUAUAUGCAAGCGAGCGUGCAAGUCCGUUCACCGUGCAAGUCCGUUCACCGGCUAAAAAUAUAUCCGGAUACAGUUGUAGCUAACUAAUUUAGCGGUUUUGGAAAAUAACCAACCCCAAAUCUAUCCAUCUAUCUAUUCAUAAUAUAUCUAUCUAUCUUUUGAUAACUACCCGUCGGACACUCGGACGUGCUUGUUUCUGUGGAUUAGGACAUGGUUGCCCACCACCCUCGGGCACUUGCACAUAGCUUGGCCUACACGUGCACGCAGCUCCUAGGUGGCUGUCUCACGUGUCGUCUUUUUUGGAAUUUAGUUUUUUGGAUUUUAUUUUCACAAUUAUGUAUUUUCCUGUUUCAUUUCAAAAAAUGAAUCUCUACCUCGGCGCCAUCACUAUUGCCGUCGAGCUAGAACGAGUCGACGCCAAUUAAAUUAGCGUGUAUAUGUUACAGUCGACGCCUACGAGUACCUGACGUGGCACUACCUCGGCGCCAUGGAUCUCGGCGCCAUGAAUCUCAGUGCCGAGGUCGGUGCCAUGGAUCUCGGCGUCGACCUCCAUGUUUAUAAAUAUCUCACUUCGGUCGUCAGUUCUUUGUAAUCAUUUCUCUUCUACCAAACGACCAAUAUCAACCUAAAUCAGCGACUUGAAUCCAUUGUUCAUGUGUAUCAAGGUAAUUUCCCUCCAUUUUUUUGGUCUUUUGCUAUGUCUGAUUAAUAGGGUUAGGGUUACCGUUUGGGAAUCAUUUUUAGACUCAUUUUUUAUUGUCAUAUUAUCGAUUUGUAGGAUGUGUAGGCGUGGUAAAUCUGCUAAACAAAGGUAACCGUUGUAUUAGAUGUAAUAACUAAUAUUUGUGAGUCUUAUAAAACUUAUCAAAAUUUAGGAAGGGUCCAUUGACCGGAACUGCCUUCGACCCACUUCCUUUGCCAACUAGUGUUUCAGUGCCUAUGUGUUUUUGUGGUGAUCCUUGCAAGGUUGACAAGUCCACUGAUCAUGACACCUAUCGACAGAGGUAUUGGAUGUGUGCUAACUAUGCAUUUGAGCCAACGAUUGUUCAGCGUCGGAUGAAUUUAAUGGUGAGAAUAAUUUUUUAGUUAGUUCACAGCUUUCAUACGAGGUGGUGCAUGUUUUGUUUUGGUACUAAUCAUUGCAUGUUUUGUAGACUCCUCGACCGCUCUGUGAUUUUGAGCAGUGGAUUAACACAGAAAUCUCACAGAAAGACAAGAAGUGAUUGGAGAAUCUUAAAAAGUGGGAUACAGAGGACAAAGAGAGGAUAGAGAAAAGACGAGAGAAGCUUGCGGCCGAGCAACAAUGGGUAGACAAACAGGAAAUGAGGCAUAUUGCUGAAUGCAGGGAGGAGAAGGAGAAGAAGCUUGAGCGUGCACGUCGUGCAAAAGGACGCAAUAGGGGAGAAUCCAGAUGCUUUUCGCAAGGGCAAAUGGCCCCGUUGCACUCAGUAGUCUAGGUGAUUAUAUGAUGUUAUGUAGUAAUAAACUUCUUAUUAUGUAUUAUUUAGUAUCGAACAAUGUUAUAUAGUAAUGAACUACUUAUUAUGGAUUCAAAUUAGGCACUAAAAGCAAUUGAUGAAGACGACUUAAAGCAAUUGAUACAGAGAAUCAACACACUUAAAGCAAUUGAUACAAAACAGUUUUCUAAUAGUUCAUUUACCAAUGAAUGUUGUAUAAAUGUUUACUGUUAGUUUUACUCUACAACAAAAUCUUAUAGAACCAAGGAUUAUAAUUAAUAUUUACAUAUGCAUAAGGACAUAUGAAGAAACAUCGGCCUCCAUCAAUCCCCCUCUCGACGAACAUAUGCACCAAGCAAUCCUCACCAUGCAUGCACUUCGGCCAAUCUUCUCUCCUGUUAUCGUAAGACUUAAGUCGAACCUUCUUAUUGAAAUCACUUUUACUUUGUACUAGAAAUUCAUAUGAUGCUUCCUCAAAAUAAUUGGGGCCAAGUGGCCCAUCAUAACAAAUUGGAGGUCCCUUCCCCACACCCUUUGCUCUCUCAUUUCUAGAACCCUUUCCUCAAGAUGACCCUGAAACCAUUUUAGCUGGUGACUUCCCUUUGUAUAACACAAUGAACCAAAUGGUCGCGUAUAAAUAGGCCAAUGUCAAGGUGGUAUGUGUUAUGAAAAUGCUAGAUGUUUCUGAAAAGGCUAGGUAUUUCUCAAAAGGAUAGCUGCUUCUAAAAAGGCCAGAUACUUCUGAAAAAGUUAGAUGCUUCUGAAAAGGCUAUGUACUUCUGAAAAGGCUAGAUGUUUCUGAAAAGUCUAGAUACUUAUGAAAAUGCUAGAUAUUUGCCUCUCAUUAAUCCAUGUAUUUGGUUUAGGGAUGUACUCAUAAUGCAUGCCGGGAUUUGCCGCCUUGAUUGCAUUGAGAAGAACAGGCGGUUGCUCGUACCUAGACUCUCAGUCCCCAUAUAUAAUCUUCCAAGCACAUUGCUUAGCCCUCCACGCUUUGCCAUAUGUUAUCUUGUAUCCAUCGCACACAUUCUCCACAAUUCGCAUGAUCGUCCUCACCUUCAUAUUUGGUUCUGACUGCAAUAUUCCCAUAUGUCGCUUCCCAAUGAGGGUAGAGGUCAACUGACGAUGCUUCGUCAUUAGCUCAUGUUCAGCACAGUUGUCCGAGCCCAUAAUUUUUGUUAUCUUCCACUUUCCGGUGAUCUUCUGUUUCAUAGCACUGACCCUCCAUGGACACUGGUCCUUGUCACAUACAAUAGCGUACGCCGCUUCUCGUAUGAAUGAAGCACCCUAUACGACCUCUUACGUAAGACGACAUAAUGUUGCAACCACAUCUUCAAGGCAUUUAGGUCCUUGAAAACCCGACCCAUUUCGAUCAUCAUGCUAGGACCCGCCUCAGGAGCAUCUAGCAACUCAUCAUCCCUCCCUUCUACAAAGGCGUCAUGAGAUAGACUCAGAUCGCUGAACUCAUGCACUCUUGGAUCCCGGUGCUCUAGAAUAACACGCUUCAACAUCUCAAUAUCACUAUGUGUAAGUUCACCAACCGAACGGUUAUCAUCUGAAUCAGCGGACAUAGCAAAGGCAUAAGGCUCCUCUUCAUUCCUAAACUCAGGACUAUUGGAUGCAAUAAUUCCAUCUCCACAAUGGAUAUGUGUUCUGAUCGUAGGAUCAACCAGAACAUCAGGAAUGUCUCCUGCAACAAGGACCAAAAAAAGAAUAAAAUGGCGGCAAUGAAAAGAACAAAGUAGGUAUGCUCGAAAAUGAUGAUCGGCUACAAAGAUACCUACAAAGGGACUUACUCCAAGGGUCCCUACCAAAGGGAUACUCUUGGUAGAAUCUAGGUGUAGGUAAUGAGUUCCAUAAUCAUUUGUAGGCUCACUUAAUGGGAUCAUAUUGGGGGGCAGAUUGAGCAUCAGGCACGGUUGGCACGACCUCAACACCACGAUCAUAGUUUUCAUCUUCAGGGCGAGAGGCAACUAACAAACGUCGUACCACUACAUCCAUGACUUGCUUUUGUGUCUUCAUAGCUGGUUUAACAUAAUUAUCCCACUCUCACUGACACUCAAUUGGGAAGAUAAGUCUUUGCACGUUGGGUAGAGGACCUACGUUUAGCACCCCAUCAACGACGAUGUCGUCAGCAUCAUGACAACAAAUCUUCUCCUUAGCCUUAGCAACCACCUCACUAAAGGAGGGUCUAUCAUCGAAUAUCACAGCCACACGUUGCAUGUCAACAAACUCAGCAUUUCCAUAAUGAUCUUGUUCCACGAUGCAUCCAUGGUAUAUGCCCAAAAAAUUGGCCAUCUAUUUGAAAUACGAAUUCAACGUUGAAUAACCAAUUGUGAUGGUUAGUGCAUAACCCCAUCCACUAUGACUAACUAAUACCUAAGUAUAAACUACCUAGUACCUAAUAAAUAAUUGUAAACUAAUACAAGAUAAUAACUAACUAAUACCUAACUACAAACUACCACCACGCGGUGGAUUAACAAUUUACCAAUAAUAACAAACUACUAACUACUAACGAUUUACCCACUAUUAACCAUUUACCAAUAAUAACUACAAAUCAAUAAGUACAUGGAAAGUGGGUUACUGGGCGGUAAGAGUGUGGCCGGCCACGGACUAGGCGGCGAGUGGCGGUUGCACGCGUCGAACGGGGGCGACGGUUUCAUCAAGUUUCUUGGUGCAUGCUUCACUGAUUCUGAUGCAUGUAUGGCUGGAUCCAUUUUUAGGUUCUUCCUGAUGACAUCCGUCGAGCAUUGCUUGUUAUUGUGGAGUGUUGCAUGAAGCGAGAUUAUCUAGCGGCAAUGGACCAAUACAUCAAGCUGGCAAUCGAGUUUUUAUUAACUUUUUACGCUGAUUUAAUCAAAUGGGCCAACGGGAUAACGGGCUGGUCCGACACAUUCAGCAGACCGGCAUGACGUGCCGGGACCAGAGUUGUGGCCCGUGCCGUGCCGCCGUUUGACCAUCUAAAUGCAUGCAACAGGUUAAUUUGAAAUAACUGUAAGGGAUUAUUUGUAAAAAUAUGACACGGGACGACCGUUAAAACUGGUGCUUUAAGUAUAGUAUAGAAGUAUAGAUAUAGAUUACAGGCCAGGCUGCGAAUUUAGUUUAUCGUGGUGUGGUGACUGAACUUACAAUCAUGCGAUAAAUGUAGUAUGGUUUCCAGAUCUUGUCAGUUGCGGUACUGACACAAUCACACAAGCACCAAAAUUGAUUAAUACGGUAAACAUGGCUGCCGCUUCAUGAUAUAUUGUAAAAAAAUGGUUCUCCAGAAUUUGGCUGAUAUAUUAAUAAAAACUUUGACCGGUCGGAUGUCGCGAUAAAGCGAUUUAAUUAGCAUGCACAAACAGAAAAAGAAAAAAGAUAAAAAAAACAGGCAGGAUUGAUUGUUGAUAUUACACAAGCAUCUCAAGCUCUACAUGUAAUCCAAUCUAGUCUACGAAGGCAUAUGCUGGCAUGAACCGGAGCCUUUCCUCGGAAGCUUUAGCCGAACCAUUCUCUUCCGAUAGAAGCGCCUGCAGGUCACUCCCAUUUGCCAGGCUGUUGAACUCCACUGAUUUUGAGGGCAGUGCAGGGUAACGCCGCUGGGAAAGCGUCAUCAGCCUCUUGAUUGACUGAAGGUACUUGCGAGUGGUCUCGUCAUUCAUGAUGUGGGCGACGCUGUUUGUGUAGAUCUUCUCUCGGGCAGAACGCUCGUGGAUGCCAACCAUAGUCACUCCAAUGGGCCAUGGUGCAUUCCCGAUUGCCA